CAGACUUUGAUUAUGGCUCAGGACGAACGCUGGCGGCGCGCCUAACACAUGCAAGUCGAACGAGAGAUGAGGAGCUUGCUCUUCAAAUCGAGUGGCGAACGGGUGAGUAACGCGUGAGGAACCUGCCUCAAAGAGGGGGACAACAGUUGGAAACGACUGCUAAUACCGCAUAAGCCCACGGCUCGGCAUCGAGCAGAGGGAAAAGGAGCAAUCCGCUUUGAGAUGGCCUCGCGUCCGAUUAGCUAGUUGGUGAGGUAACGGCCCACCAAGGCGACGAUCGGUAGCCGGACUGAGAGGUUGAACGGCCACAUUGGGACUGAGACACGGCCCAGACUCCUACGGGAGGCAGCAGUGGGGAAUAUUGCACAAUGGGGGAAACCCUGAUGCAGCGACGCCGCGUGGAGGAAGAAGGUCUUCGGAUUGUAAACUCCUGUUGUUGAGGAAGAUAAUGACGGUACUCAACAAGGAAGUGACGGCUAACUACGUGCCAGCAGCCGCGGUAAAACGUAGGUCACAAGCGUUGUCCGGAAUUACUGGGUGUAAAGGGAGCGCAGGCGGGAGAACAAGUUGGAAGUGAAAUCCAUGGGCUCAACCCAUGAACUGCUUUCAAAACUGUUUUUCUUGAGUAGUGCAGAGGCAGGCGGAAUUCCCGGUGUAGCGGUGGAAUGCGUAGAUAUCGGGAGGAACACCAGUGGCGAAGGCGGCCUACUGGGCACCAACUGACGCUGAGGCUCGAAAGUGUGGGUAGCAAACAGGAUUAGAUACCCUGGUAGUCCACACCGUAAACGAUGAUUACUAGGUGUUGGAGGAUUGACCCCUUCAGUGCCGCAGUUAACACAAUAAGUAAUCCACCUGGGGAGUACGACCGCAAGGUUGCA
This 878-nucleotide ribosomal RNA is filed under the name uncultured bacterium. RNAcentral describes it as "bacterial SSU rRNA". It matches the Rfam family "Bacterial small subunit ribosomal RNA", at positions 8 to 898 of the family's 1533-position model. The record is from RNAcentral.